This is a long non-coding RNA of Macaca fascicularis (crab-eating macaque), 3029 nucleotides long. Lineage: Eukaryota; Metazoa; Chordata; Mammalia; Primates; Cercopithecidae. The record is from Ensembl.
CAGGACCAGGUUUAAACUUUGUUUUAAAUAUUUUUAUACUUAGGUCUCUUUUUCCUGCCUCUCCCCAAAGAAGAGCCACUGGCCUUAGUUGUUUGAGCUUACUGCUUAUAUUAUAGAGUGUAAAUAGAUAACUAGAGACUAAACUUUUAUUAACUAGCAUGUUUGGUAUAUUUAAAGCAGUGACUGAGUGUGUUUGAGUGAGCGGCUGGGGGCAGUGUCUUUUGUUUAAACACACUGCCUCGCGUCUUUGCAGCUGAUUCAGAGAGUUUGAAUUGUGCGAUGGGAAACUCACUUCAGCUCUAGGCUGCAGUAAUGUGUUGGUAGUUACACUUGAGGUGUUUUUUUUUUUUUUUUUUAAUUAACUCUAUAGUCUCAAACUAUUUUUGCAAAUAUAUCAUUUUUCCUAGUUGGUUCUUGACGUGCAGUGGACUGGCUCUGUGAAUGAUUGGCAGGGUCUUAGUUUUGCAAGAGUAUUUCCUUCUAAGAAUUAUUGUGAUCUGCAGAAACAGCCGCUCGAUUCAAAAAUCAUGUAGAAAAGGAGUAGGAGAAACAAAACGUUUCAUUUGUGGGCCUUAACCAUUUGAAAUGUUUGGACUUUAACAUAAAGCCAUGGAGUUUAUAAAGCCAAGUAACCAUUUGACAUGGAUAAUAAUAUCCACUCUAGAGAGAGUAUAUAUGCAUAUUGAUUUUUAAUGCCGUUAAGAUACUUUUGUAAAACUGUAGGAACAAGAGUAAUUAGACCAAAUGGAAGCUUAGGGGACAGUAAACUGGUUGCUUUCCAUUUAGAGUAACCAUGCAUGUGGUUAGUCCUCUACUCCUGAGAUUCAGAACCAGAUGACUGUCCCCUUAGGUGUAUAAGGAGAAAAGUUGACACGUCUGGGACCUCUGACAUGUGUACACAUGCUUGCACACAUGCACACACAGUGAAUGUUUUCAGUUAUACAAACAUAAGACCUUAAGAUGAAAAGAGCCAGAAUAUUCUAAAGAGGUGAUGAACAAAGGGGAUGGAAACUGCAUCACAGAUGUUUUCCAAGGGCCAGGGUGGAAUUUGAGCUCUAGUGUCUGACUUUGAGAUGUGUUGUAUUUUUAACACAUACAUGAGGGGAUCCAUAUCACAUUCUUUCUUGUGGACCACCAAAUUGAAAGCUUUCUUGUAACUCACAAGCAGCAGCUCUCCAGCAGCUCUCCAUAGCCUGGGUGAAGUCCCAGAAGCUGGUGUGCAUCAUUUUCCAAGGUGGUAGAGCUGCUUGCUCUGCAGAUCAUUCCUUUGAGAGAGGAGUACAAGUGAAGAAACAAGGAGGCGCUCCCUAUAGGAGCACUGAUGUGCCUCGUCCACACUCCCCUCUGGGCUUGACUGAACAUGCUGAGAGAGCUCCAACUGAACAUGCUGAGCAGUUGAGCACUUUUCCAUCAGCAACAACAGUGAGGAUGGAAAUGGAAAGGAACUGAACUAAAAUGCAUUUCCCUUUGCAGGGCAGAGAGCUAAGCUCUUAGGAACAGUGUUGUAGAAAUAAGCACCCUAACUUCAAUUCCUGAAAAUGUUGGUUAAUGGAGAGAAUUUUGGAGUUUCACUUAAUUAUUUUCCCAUCAGUCGACCUAAAUAAGUCUUCAGACUCUUCAGACUCCUAGAAGAGUCCCAGCCCAGCUCUGCAGGUCUGAAGCUCACUGCUCUGAGCUCUGAAUACCAGAGCCCUGCAGAGGGUGGUGAUAACGCAUCAUCUCUGCAAAGAGGAGCCUCUGCCCCGGCCGCCACUUCACUCAGGCUUCUACUGAGCAGCAAGGACAGCCUGGGUUCCAAAUGCCGCUUCCCCUGCUUUAGGGAUCCGGGUGUCCUGAUAACGUGACCGUGCCGAGGCAAGGUAUCAACUCCAAGAGUGAAUGAGUCACUGAGCGUGGCACAUGAAUAAACGUCAUGACAAAGAUUCUCUGAGUGAGGCUAAUGCCACGUAUUUUACCUUUGCAAAAAAUCAACUGGCACACUGAGUUCUAACCACGGAUGGAUGAUAUCUUUGCCUCCACACCCAGAUUCCUAGAAAUGGCUAACGUUUCCUUUCUGGGGGAAGGGUGGAGGAACACUCAAGUGCUAGCUUAGCAGCUUUGCUCAGUCCAGGUCAGAGCUGUAAGGUAAAGGCCUAAGCACCUCCCUGCAGUCUCUUCUAUCUCAAGUUUUAGGAACCCCUUUCUAGAACAGAAAUGUACACUAGCGGAGAAUUUACAUUGUCAGCCUCGAUUACCAUAGGACAGGCAGAAAGGUGGUAAUUUUUCUUUUAAUAUAAAAGAAGCUUUUAACUUUUCCAGCCUAUUAUAAUAACUGGGUUAUAUUCACUGUGACUCAAGCUAAUUGGCAUUGUGGAACAUUUCUUUACCUUCAAAGUUUUCUCCACCAAUCAUUUCAGUUCUAUUGCAGUCCUGGUGCCAUAUGUCCCCUGCAAAUUGUGAAAGUAAUUAGUGACAAAAUAGCAACCUGCUCCUUUUCGAUGGCCAAACUGUCAGCAUUAGCAGAUUUGGGUAAGCUCGUGGUACUAUAACACGUACUGGAAACCUGUUCCUCAUCACCACCUACCAGAUUCCGGAAAUGCCAUCUUCUAGAAGACGGUGGCAUUUAUGGUGGUCUUCUUUUGAAUGGAACAGUAAUUUGUGUGGAUAUUGUUAAAGUGUUUAAAGAAUAUUUUGACAAUUAAGUUUACAUUUUACAAUUGCUUUAUUUUUUAUUAAAAUAGUUGUAUAUAAAUAUUACCCUAUUUCACUGUUGUUCAAGUAAACCUAAACCUUGUAGACAAGUGAGUCACCUGAUAUGUAUAGAAGCUGUGACAUAUAGAGUACAUUUAUUGUGUAAAUGUUUAUGAAUAUAAUUGUUCCUGUGUUUUUAUAAGUUGGGGAUAUUUUGUUGUUUUACAACAACAAAAUUUAUUGCAUUUAAAUGGUUUUUAUGUAAUAGAAAUCAUGCAAAAUAGUGAAGGAUUUAAAAUAUGUAUAUGAUAUAUGUAAAUGUACAAACUUUAGAAGGAAAUAAAUCCAACAAAUUUCAA